This 388-nucleotide ribosomal RNA is filed under the name uncultured bacterium. RNAcentral describes it as "bacterial SSU rRNA". It matches the Rfam family "Bacterial small subunit ribosomal RNA", at positions 28 to 414 of the family's 1533-position model. The record is from RNAcentral.
GACGAACGCUGGCGGCGUGCUUAACACAUGCAAGUCGAGCGGUAAGGCCCUUUCGGGGGUACACGAGCGGCGAACGGGUUAGUAACACGUGGGUGACCUGCCCUCAGCUCUGGGAUAAGCCUGGGGAAACUGGGUCUAAUACCGGAUAUGACUCCAUGACGCAUGUUGUGGGGUGGAAAGCCUUGUGCGGCUGAGGAUGGGCCCGNGGCCUAUCAGCUUGUUGGUGGGGUGANGGCCUACCAAGGCGACGACGGGUAGCCGGCCUGAGAGGGCGACCGGCCACACUGGGACUGAGACACGGGCCCAGACUCCUACGGGAGGCGAGCAGUGGGGAAUCUUGCGCAAUGGGCGAAAGCCUGACGCAGCGACGCCGCGUGAGGGAUGACGG